Non-coding RNA from Glycine max (soybean), 112 nucleotides. The record is from Rfam. NCBI's taxonomy places the organism in Eukaryota, Viridiplantae, Streptophyta, Magnoliopsida, Fabales, Fabaceae.
GCCGUGUGAUAAGCAUAAAGUGAACUAUUCUUUCACCUUUUACUAAAGAAUAUCGUGUGUUUGUUGUCACUGCAACAUGAGUUUCAAAAGUUUUGUCUAGAAUCUAGUUUUG